GUGAUGCCCUUAGAUGUUCUGGGCUGCACGCGCGCUACAAUGAUGCACACAGCGUGGUUUACUUAGCCGAGAGGCUUGGAUUCUCUUGUAAUGUGCAUCGUGAUGGGGAUAGAUCAUUGUAAUUAUUGAUCUUGAACGAGGAAUGCCUAGUAAGCGCGAGUCAUCAGCUCGCGCUGAUUUCGUCCCUGCCCUUUGUACACACCGCCCGUCGCUCCUACCGAUUGGAUGGUCCGGUGAAAUGUUCGGAUUUAUGCUCUAGGCUCGGCUGAGUUUUCGUAGCAUACAAAAAGUUCAUUGAGCCUUAUCAUCUAGAGGAAGGAGAAGUCGUAACAAGGUUUCCGUAGG
Molecule: ribosomal RNA, 345 nt
Filed under: Lotharella globosa
Lineage: Eukaryota; Cercozoa; Chlorarachniophyceae
Description: partial Eukaryotic small subunit ribosomal RNA
Rfam family: Eukaryotic small subunit ribosomal RNA
Source: RNAcentral